CGGUAUGUGGCAACACAUAGAGUGGCGAACGGGUGAGUAACACGUGGGAACGUACCCUACGCAGGGGGAUAACUGACCGAAAGGACAGCUAAUACCGCAUAAGACCGAAAGGUGAAAGGUGCAACUGCACCGGCGAAGGAGCGGCCCGCGGACCAUCAGCUAGUUGGUGGGGUAAGAGCCUACCAAGGCAACGACGGAUAGCCGGCGUGAGAGCGUGGCCGGCCACAAGGACACUGAGAUACGGGUCCUACUCCUACGGGAGGCAGCAGUGCGGAAUUUUAGAUAAUGGAGGCAACUCUGAUCUAGCGACGCCGCGUGCAGGAAGAAGGUCUUCGGAUUGUAAACUGCUGUGGUAAGGGAAAAAUGCCAUGUAGAGUGGAAAGCUACAUGGAGGGAUGGUACUUUACUAGAAAGCCCCGGCUAACUACGUGCC
This 433-nucleotide ribosomal RNA is filed under the name uncultured bacterium. RNAcentral describes it as "bacterial SSU rRNA". It matches the Rfam family "Bacterial small subunit ribosomal RNA", at positions 67 to 509 of the family's 1533-position model. The record is from RNAcentral.